This 543-nucleotide ribosomal RNA is filed under the name fungal endophyte. RNAcentral describes it as "eukaryotic LSU rRNA". The stretch from base 161 to 314 matches the Rfam family "5.8S ribosomal RNA". The record is from RNAcentral. Lineage: Eukaryota; Fungi.
UAACCUGCGGAGGGAUCAUUACUGAGUACUACACUCUCUACCCUUUGUGAACUAUUAUACCUGUUGCUUCGGCGGCGCCCGCGAGGGCGCCCGCCGGUCUCAUCAGAAUCUCUGUUUUCGAACCCGACGAUACUUCUGAGUGUUCUUAGCGAACUGUCAAAACUUUUAACAACGGAUCUCUUGGCUCCAGCAUCGAUGAAGAACGCAGCGAAACGCGAUAUGUAAUGUGAAUUGCAGAAUUCAGUGAAUCAUCGAAUCUUUGAACGCACAUGGCGCCUUCCAGUAUCCUGGGAGGCAUGCCUGUCCGAGCGUCGUUUCAACCCUCGAGCCCCCCGUGGCCCGGCGUUGGGGAUCUGCCACGGCAGGCCCCUAAAACCAGUGGCGGACCCGCUGGGCCCUCUCCUUUGCGCAGUAGCAUCAGCCUCGCAUCGGGAGCCCUCGGCGUCCUGCCUCUAAACCCCCCACAAGCCCGCUCCGGCGGCACCAAGGUUGACCUCGGAUCAGGUAGGAAUACCCGCUGAACUUAAGCAUAUCAAUAAGGCG